This 217-nucleotide long non-coding RNA is filed under the name Brassica rapa (field mustard). RNAcentral describes it as "long non-coding RNA (BRAP_LNC007833)". The record is from RNAcentral. Lineage: Eukaryota; Viridiplantae; Streptophyta; Magnoliopsida; Brassicales; Brassicaceae.
UCAAACUGUGUUGGGUAUUUAACUAAGAUGAGUAAACUUUACAACAUUUUUUAUUUUUUUUUUGUCAUGAAAGUAUCAUUCAUUGAUUAGGUUGUACCAUUGUCAAUAUUUUUUUGUCAACGUACCAAUGUCAAUUUGUAAAGUUGAUCACAAACAGACUAGAAACCAUCUACAAGAAAUAAGGAUUCAACUUUUGUGAAGUACUAUUGUCAAUUUG